UGAGUAGGCGGUUAUGUAUGUCAGAUGUAAAAGGCACAGGCUUAACUUGUGUUAGCAUUUGAAACUGCAUAACUUGAGUGCAGGAGAGGUAAGUGGAAUUCCUAGUGUAGCGGUGAAAUGCGUAGAUAUUAGGAGGAACACCAGUGGCGAAGGCGACUUACUGGACUGUAACUGACGCUGAGUCACGAAAGCGUGGGUAGCAAACA
Molecule: ribosomal RNA, 206 nt
Filed under: uncultured Eubacteriales bacterium
Lineage: Bacteria; Bacillati; Bacillota; Clostridia; Eubacteriales
Description: uncultured Clostridiales bacterium partial 16S ribosomal RNA
Rfam family: Bacterial small subunit ribosomal RNA
Source: RNAcentral